CCUACGGGUGGCAGCAGUGAGGAAUAUUGGUCAAUGGCCGUAAGGCUGAACCAGCCAAGUCGCGUGAAGGAAGAAGGAUCUAUGGUUUGUAAACUUCUUUUAUAGGGGAAUAAAGGUAUCCACGUGUGGAUAUUUGCAUGUACCCUAUGAAUAAGCAUCGGCUAACUCCGUGCAAGCAGCCGCGGUAAUACGGAGGAUGCGAGCGUUAUCCGGAGUGAUUGGGUUUAAAGGGGGCGUAGGUUGUUUUUUAAGUCCGCGGUGAAAGUUUGUGUCUCAACCAUCAGACUGCCGUGGAAACUGGAAGACUUGAGUGUGUUUGAGGUAGGCGGAAUGCGUGGUGUAGCGGUGAAAUGCAUAGAUAUCACGAAGAACUCCGAUUGCGAAGGCAGCUUACUAAGCCAUCACUGACACUGAAGCACGAAAGCGUGGGGAUCAAACAGGAUUAGAUACCCCUGUAGUC
Molecule: ribosomal RNA, 460 nt
Filed under: uncultured bacterium
Lineage: Bacteria
Description: partial 16S ribosomal RNA
Rfam family: Bacterial small subunit ribosomal RNA
Source: RNAcentral